Molecule: small nucleolar RNA, 127 nt
Filed under: Peromyscus maniculatus bairdii (prairie deer mouse)
Lineage: Eukaryota; Metazoa; Chordata; Mammalia; Rodentia; Cricetidae
Description: Small nucleolar RNA SNORA61 (ENSPEMG00000002811.2)
Source: RNAcentral
AGCCUCUGGUCCCCUUUCACAUCAGCCCUUGGUGCUAGUCCUUUUGUUUGUAAUGGAGGAAGAGUACUCUGAGCUGGCAUCAUAUGAUGUAUUCUGGUAUAGUGCACAGGGCCAGAUUCAAACCUGC